UACGUAGGCAGCAAACGUUGUUCGGAAUUACUGGGCGUAAAGAGCGUGUAGGCGGCCAGGUAGGUCUGCUGUGAAAACUCGAGGCUCAACCUCGAGACGUCGGCGGAAACCAUCUGGCUAGAGUCCGGAAGAGGCGAGUGGAAUUCCUGGUGUAGCGGUGGAAUGCGCAGAUAUCAGGAGGAACACCAACGGCGAAGGCAGCUCGCUGGGACGGUACUGACGCUGAGGCGCGAAAGCCAGGGGAGCAAACGGG
RNAcentral lists this ribosomal RNA (253 nucleotides) under uncultured bacterium. RNAcentral describes it as "partial 16S ribosomal RNA". It matches the Rfam family "Bacterial small subunit ribosomal RNA", at positions 524 to 776 of the family's 1533-position model. The record is from RNAcentral.